CAGUCGCCGCGGUAAGACAGAGGAUGCAAGCGUUAUCCGGAAUGAUUGGGCGUAAAGCGUCUGUAGGUGGCUUUUCAAGUCCGCCGUCAAAUCCCAGGGCUCAACCCUGGACAGGCGGUGGAAACUACCAAGCUGGAGUACGGUAGGGGCAGAGGGAAUCCCCGGUGGAGCGGUGAAAUGCGUUGAGAUCGGAAGGAACACCAACGGCGAAAGCACUCUGCUGGGCCGACACUGACACUGAGAGACGAAAGCUAGGGGAGCAAAUGGGAUUAGAUACCCCCGUAGUCCCUGUCUCUUAUAC
Molecule: ribosomal RNA, 301 nt
Filed under: uncultured bacterium
Lineage: Bacteria
Description: partial 16S ribosomal RNA
Rfam family: Bacterial small subunit ribosomal RNA
Source: RNAcentral